UUAAUAAAUUAGUAAAAAUAAAUAUAGAAAGAAAAUAAUAUCUAAAAACCAACAACAGUCCGACUAAAUAUCAGUAAACUAAAACAUGUGUUUCAAGAUUCCUGUACUUAAAGUUCAUUAUUUUAGUCUGACCACCUUUCAGAUGUUUUUCUUAUUUUUCUGUAGAGAUCAUAAAUUAAAUAAACAUUUUCAAACCAAAGAGACUUUUAGAAUUUAAGAUUUCAGUGUUUUAUCACUUUUUUUCUGAUUUUGUCAGAGAUGUUGCAGAGUGUUGGUUCCUCCAUCCUGUGGUUGUGGUUCUGGUUCUGUUCCACAGAGGAGAUCCUGACCUUUGCAUCCCUGAUUGUGAUUUAACAGUAAUGAUGUUGUCAGUGUCUCUGUGAUGCCUCUGAAAUGCUCUUUUCCUGAUUUGUUGUUUGCAUGUUUUCUCUCUUCACCUUUGUCCCUGCUGAGAUCCCCUCCUUCAGACGACUGCAGGAGCUUAUCUUCGCUUUUCAUUCGCGGCUGAAUGAAGCAGCGGAGCUUCCUAAUCUUUAAAACCUCCUGAAGCUGGAAGUGUUUCCUGUUGUCGGGACGAUUAAGAGGAGGCUCGCCUUCAUCGCCGUGUUCUGUCUUUUCUACAGAUCCACCUGGUUCCUCUCACCCUGGACCCGACCUCGUUCUGUUCCAUCCCUCCAGCAGAAGGUUCUGAUCCACCAGGACAGGAACCCAACACAACCAGAACCGCUUCUUCCCCAAAGCAAAUCCUGACCAUCUGUGUGCUGCUGGAGGGGCUCAGAGCAUCUGCAAUGUGUUCAUCACCACCGGCUGAAUGAAUGAAUGAAUCAUGUGGCAUGUUACAUGUUUCUCUACAGAGACUUGGACAGGUCCAACAUAUGCAACUUCUGCCUGAUAGAAAGCAUAACUUUGCUGGUUUUACGUUGCUGCCAACCUGUCAGGAACAUUUAUGUGGCAUAUUUAAAGAGGAAAAUCCUCCACUCACACCAGUCUAUCAUCAUGUUGAUCAUGUUGGGUUAUGUUCAGGAUGUUUUAUAUGUUCCAACACUUUUCCUCUGACACGAGCACAUCACCGUGCAUGGCGAGCUGCAGGCGCUGCAGGUGUCACAUGAUCCAAACGACUGCCAAACGCCGGUAGGGAGCAGAUGGAGCGUUGAGGAGGGCAGUGGACCCCGACCCUCUGUCACUGGAGGUAAGUCCCUGCCGACUCCUGGAUGCCUCGUUAAUGAGCGCCGAGCUUCCUGUUGACAGAUUCACCCAUAAGGGCAAAGGUUUGUCCUUAUGGGUGUAACACCCUGUAACACCAAGAGAAACAAUCUUCUAAAAGUUCCUAUAAAACUGGAAUCACGGUGAAAAAAAUCAAAUAAAACUCCCCUCCUGUGAUAUGAAGGGAAAUGUUGAAUAAAGCUGAACACUCUUGGUGACGUAAA
Xiphophorus maculatus (southern platyfish) is the source of this 1427-nucleotide long non-coding RNA. RefSeq lists it as uncharacterized. The record is from RefSeq and is a predicted model, not a curated record. The transcript is spliced from 3 exons. NCBI's taxonomy places the organism in Eukaryota, Metazoa, Chordata, Actinopteri, Cyprinodontiformes, Poeciliidae.